Molecule: ribosomal RNA, 835 nt
Filed under: uncultured archaeon
Lineage: Archaea
Description: bacterial SSU rRNA
Rfam family: Archaeal small subunit ribosomal RNA
Source: RNAcentral
ACUGCUCAGUAACACGUGGACAACUUGCCCUAUCGCGGAGGAUAAUCUCGGGAAACUGAGGAUAAUACUCCAUAGACCUCUUAUACUGGAAUGUUUUGAGGUCGAAAGCUCCGGCACGAUAGGAUAGGUCUGCGGCCGAUUAGUUUGUAGGCGGUGUAAAGGACCACCUAGACUAUAAUCGGUAAGGGUCGUGGGAGCGAUUGCCCUGAGACGGAAUCUGAGACACUAUUCCGAGCCUUACGGGGUGCAGCAGGCGCGAAACCUUUACAAUGCACGAAAGUGUGAUAAGGGAAUUCCAAGUGUGCAUAUACCAUAUGUACUUUUCUUUAGUGUAAAAAGCUAGAGGAAUAAGGGGUGGGUAAGACUAGUGCCAGCCGCCGCGGUAAAACUAGCAUCCCAAGUGGCAGUCACCAUUACUGGGCUUAGAGCGUCCGUAGCUUGUUUGGAAAGUCUCUGCUGAAAUCCUGCGGCUUAACCGUAGGGCUUGGCGGAGAAACUCUCAGACUUGAGGACAGGAGAGGUCGGGGGUACUUUUGGGGUAGGGGUGAAAUCCUAUAAUCCUAAAAGGACCAACAGUGGCGAAGGCGCCCGACAUGAAUGUGCCUGACAGUGAGGGACGAGAGCCAGGGUCGCGAAACGGAUUAGAUACCCGUGUAGUCCUGGCCGUAAACGAUGCUGACUAGGUGGGGCGUGUUCUUUGUGAACAUGCUAUGCCGAAGGGAAACCGUUAAGUCAGCCGCCUGGGGAGUACGUCCGCAAGGAUGAAACUUAAAGGAAUUGGCGGGGGAGCACUACAAGGGGUGGAAGCUGCGGUUUAAUUGGAGUCAACGCCGGG